RNAcentral lists this unclassified non-coding RNA (357 nucleotides) under Hevea brasiliensis (rubber tree). The record is from RNAcentral. Lineage: Eukaryota; Viridiplantae; Streptophyta; Magnoliopsida; Malpighiales; Euphorbiaceae.
AAUAAAUGUGUUCAUGCAUGAUGUAAAAUUUGUGUAUUAAAGCUCUCAUUAAGGCUCAUUUUGCUAGCAGUUUUUGGAGUGGAGACGAACUGUAUUUUUAUUGGCAAUUUUUAACUCUCGCUUCCGGGGGAGAGUCCACCACUUUGUGGUAGUUUUCUUUAUUCAAAACACAAUCAAGAUUUGGAUUUUCCUCUAGCAAAAAGGACGUUGGCUUGAGUAAGGGGAGGCAAUAAUUUUCUGCUUGAUGAAAAAAAGGGCCACGGCUGAAUAUUCUUAAAAGAGCUGAAAAUGAAGAGAGUUCGUUCUCUCGGGUGGUGCAAACUUUGUCUAAUUAGUUACUAUCAAGAUGCUUUUUCA